This 2902-nucleotide ribosomal RNA is filed under the name Escherichia coli. RNAcentral describes it as "bacterial LSU rRNA". It matches the Rfam family "Bacterial large subunit ribosomal RNA". The record is from RNAcentral. Lineage: Bacteria; Pseudomonadati; Pseudomonadota; Gammaproteobacteria; Enterobacterales; Enterobacteriaceae.
UUAAGCGACUAAGCGUACACGGUGGAUGCCCUGGCAGUCAGAGGCGAUGAAGGACGUGCUAAUCUGCGAUAAGCGUCGGUAAGGUGAUAUGAACCGUUAUAACCGGCGAUUUCCGAAUGGGGAAACCCAGUGUGUUUCGACACACUAUCAUUAACUGAAUCCAUAGGUUAAUGAGGCGAACCGGGGGAACUGAAACAUCUAAGUACCCCGAGGAAAAGAAAUCAACCGAGAUUCCCCCAGUAGCGGCGAGCGAACGGGGAGCAGCCCAGAGCCUGAAUCAGUGUGUGUGUUAGUGGAAGCGUCUGGAAAGGCGCGCGAUACAGGGUGACAGCCCCGUACACAAAAAUGCACAUGCUGUGAGCUCGAUGAGUAGGGCGGGACACGUGGUAUCCUGUCUGAAUAUGGGGGGACCAUCCUCCAAGGCUAAAUACUCCUGACUGACCGAUAGUGAACCAGUACCGUGAGGGAAAGGCGAAAAGAACCCCGGCGAGGGGAGUGAAAAAGAACCUGAAACCGUGUACGUACAAGCAGUGGGAGCACGCUUAGGCGUGUGACUGCGUACCUUUUGUAUAAUGGGUCAGCGACUUAUAUUCUGUAGCAAGGUUAACCGAAUAGGGGAGCCGAAGGGAAACCGAGUCUUAACUGGGCGUUAAGUUGCAGGGUAUAGACCCGAAACCCGGUGAUCUAGCCAUGGGCAGGUUGAAGGUUGGGUAACACUAACUGGAGGACCGAACCGACUAAUGUUGAAAAAUUAGCGGAUGACUUGUGGCUGGGGGUGAAAGGCCAAUCAAACCGGGAGAUAGCUGGUUCUCCCCGAAAGCUAUUUAGGUAGCGCCUCGUGAAUUCAUCUCCGGGGGUAGAGCACUGUUUCGGCAAGGGGGUCAUCCCGACUUACCAACCCGAUGCAAACUGCGAAUACCGGAGAAUGUUAUCACGGGAGACACACGGCGGGUGCUAACGUCCGUCGUGAAGAGGGAAACAACCCAGACCGCCAGCUAAGGUCCCAAAGUCAUGGUUAAGUGGGAAACGAUGUGGGAAGGCCCAGACAGCCAGGAUGUUGGCUUAGAAGCAGCCAUCAUUUAAAGAAAGCGUAAUAGCUCACUGGUCGAGUCGGCCUGCGCGGAAGAUGUAACGGGGCUAAACCAUGCACCGAAGCUGCGGCAGCGACGCUGAUGCGUUGUUGGGUAGGGGAGCGUUCUGUAAGCCUGCGAAGGUGUGCUGUGAGGCAUGCUGGAGGUAUCAGAAGUGCGAAUGCUGACAUAAGUAACGAUAAAGCGGGUGAAAAGCCCGCUCGCCGGAAGACCAAGGGUUCCUGUCCAACGUUAAUCGGGGCAGGGUGAGUCGACCCCUAAGGCGAGGCCGAAAGGCGUAGUCGAUGGGAAACAGGUUAAUAUUCCUGUACUUGGUGUUACUGCGAAGGGGGGACGGAGAAGGCUAUGUUGGCCGGGCGACGGUUGUCCCGGUUUAAGCGUGUAGGCUGGUUUUCCAGGCAAAUCCGGAAAAUCAAGGCUGAGGCGUGAUGACGAGGCACUACGGUGCUGAAGCAACAAAUGCCCUGCUUCCAGGAAAAGCCUCUAAGCAUCAGGUAACAUCAAAUCGUACCCCAAACCGACACAGGUGGUCAGGUAGAGAAUACCAAGGCGCUUGAGAGAACUCGGGUGAAGGAACUAGGCAAAAUGGUGCCGUAACUUCGGGAGAAGGCACGCUGAUAUGUAGGUGAAGUCCCUCGCGGAUGGAGCUGAAAUCAGUCGAAGAUACCAGCUGGCUGCAACUGUUUAUUAAAAACACAGCACUGUGCAAACACGAAAGUGGACGUAUACGGUGUGACGCCUGCCCGGUGCCGGAAGGUUAAUUGAUGGGGUNAGCGCAAGCGAAGCUCUUGAUCGAAGCCCCGGUAAACGGCGGCCGUAACUAUAACGGUCCUAAGGUAGCGAAAUUCCUUGUCGGGUAAGUUCCGACCUGCACGAAUGGCGUAAUGAUGGCCAGGCUGUCUCCACCCGAGACUCAGUGAAAUUGAACUCGCUGUGAAGAUGCAGUGUACCCGCGGCAAGACGGAAAGACCCCGUGAACCUUUACUAUAGCUUGACACUGAACAUUGAGCCUUGAUGUGUAGGAUAGGUGGGAGGCUUUGAAGUGUGGACGCCAGUCUGCAUGGAGCCGACCUUGAAAUACCACCCUUUAAUGUUUGAUGUUCUAACGUUGACCCGUAAUCCGGGUUGCGGACAGUGUCUGGUGGGUAGUUUGACUGGGGCGGUCUCCUCCUAAAGAGUAACGGAGGAGCACGAAGGUUGGCUAAUCCUGGUCGGACAUCAGGAGGUUAGUGCAAUGGCAUAAGCCAGCUUGACUGCGAGCGUGACGGCGCGAGCAGGUGCGAAAGCAGGUCAUAGUGAUCCGGUGGUUCUGAAUGGAAGGGCCAUCGCUCAACGGAUAAAAGGUACUCCGGGGAUAACAGGCUGAUACCGCCCAAGAGUUCAUAUCGACGGCGGUGUUUGGCACCUCGAUGUCGGCUCAUCACAUCCUGGGGCUGAAGUAGGUCCCAAGGGUAUGGCUGUUCGCCAUUUAAAGUGGUACGCGAGCUGGGUUUAGAACGUCGUGAGACAGUUCGGUCCCUAUCUGCCGUGGGCGCUGGAGAACUGAGGGGGGCUGCUCCUAGUACGAGAGGACCGGAGUGGACGCAUCACUGGUGUUCGGGUUGUCAUGCCAAUGGCACUGCCCGGUAGCUAAAUGCGGAAGAGAUAAGUGCUGAAAGCAUCUAAGCACGAAACUUGCCCCGAGAUGAGUUCUCCCUGACCCUUUAAGGGUCCUGAAGGAACGUUGAAGACGACGACGUUGAUAGGCCGGGUGUGUAAGCGCAGCGAUGCGUUGAGCUAACCGGUACUAAUGAACCGUGAGGCUUAACCUU